AGAACGAACGCUGGCGGCAUACCUAAUACAUGCAAGUCGAACGAACACUUCGGUGUUAGUGGCGCACGGGUGCGUAACGCGUGGGAAUCUGCCCUUGGGUUCGGAAUAACAGUUGGAAACGACUGCUAAUACCGGAUGAUAUCGAAAGAUCAAAGAUUUAUCGCCCAGGGAUGAGCCCGCGUAGGAUUAGCUAGUUGGUGAGGUAAAGCUCACCGAAGGCGACGAUCCUAGCGUGGUCUGAGAGGAUGAUCACGCCACAGUGGACUGAGACACGCCCAGUACUCCGACGGGACGGCAGCAAGGUAGGAAUAGUGGACAAGUGGGACGAAGCCUAGACUACCGAGAC
Molecule: ribosomal RNA, 346 nt
Filed under: uncultured soil bacterium
Lineage: Bacteria
Description: bacterial SSU rRNA
Rfam family: Bacterial small subunit ribosomal RNA
Source: RNAcentral